CUAUUCUAGUAACAUAAUUUAGACAUGGCUCCCCUGGGUGGGGUAAAGGGUAAGAAAUAGACUGAUUAUUUCCCAUAUUUCUGGCUCAGGGUAGAGACACUACCUACUUACCAAUAGUGUGUCUCUACUUAACAAGCAAAAUAAACACAAAUCAGACACAGGGUGACCAAAGGAACGAGAAGUUUGGGUUAUUCUAGAUCUAUGAACCGUGUUCCCUAGAACACUUAUAGUAUUAAUAAACCGGAGACUCCUUUAUAGUCUCAAAACCUGUAUCUACCUGAGAUACCCUGUAUCUAUCUUAGAUACUAACCUGGGUUACCAAAACCCUAUAUAUAUUUAGACCAAAUGUCUAAUAAACCGGAG
This is a non-coding RNA of Pelobates cultripes (western spadefoot toad), 363 nucleotides long. The record is from the annotation of a GenBank genome assembly. NCBI's taxonomy places the organism in Eukaryota, Metazoa, Chordata, Amphibia, Anura, Pelobatidae.